AACGAACGCUGGCGGCAGGCCUAACACAUGCAAGUCGAGCGAGGACUUCGGUCCUAGCGGCGGACGGGUGAGUAACGCGUGGGAACGUGCCCUUUGCUUCGGAAUAGCCCUGGGAAACUGGGAGUAAUACCGGAUGAGCCCUUUGGGGGAAAGAUUUAUCGGCGAAGGAUCGGCCCGCGUUGGAUUAGGUAGUUGGUGGGGUAAUGGCCUACCAAGCCGACGAUCCAUAGCUGGUUUGAGAGGAUGAUCAGCCACACUGGGACUGAGACACGGCCCAGACUCCUACGGGAGGCAGCAGUGGGGAAUCUUAGACAAUGGGGGAAACCCUGAUCUAGCCAUGCCGCGUGAGCGAUGAAGGCCUUAGGGUUGUAAAGCUCUUUCAGCUGGGAAGAUAAUGACGGGACCAGCAGAAGAAGCCCCGGCGAACUCCGU
This 432-nucleotide ribosomal RNA is filed under the name uncultured bacterium. Its description in RNAcentral is "partial 16S ribosomal RNA". It matches the Rfam family "Bacterial small subunit ribosomal RNA", at positions 29 to 506 of the family's 1533-position model. The record is from RNAcentral.